Molecule: ribosomal RNA, 1529 nt
Filed under: Escherichia coli
Lineage: Bacteria; Pseudomonadati; Pseudomonadota; Gammaproteobacteria; Enterobacterales; Enterobacteriaceae
Description: bacterial SSU rRNA
Rfam family: Bacterial small subunit ribosomal RNA
Source: RNAcentral
UUGAAGAGUUUGAUCAUGGCUCAGAUUGAACGCUGGCGGCAGGCCUAACACAUGCAAGUCGAACGGUAACAGGAAGAAGCUUGCUUCUUUGCUGACGAGUGGCGGACGGGUGAGUAAUGUCUGGGAAACUGCCUGAUGGAGGGGGAUAACUACUGGAAACGGUAGCUAAUACCGCAUAACGUCGCAAGACCAAAGAGGGGGACCUUCGGGCCUCUUGCCAUCGGAUGUGCCCAGAUGGGAUUAGCUAGUAGGUGGGGUAACGGCUCACCUAGGCGACGAUCCCUAGCUGGUCUGAGAGGAUGACCAGCCACACUGGAACUGAGACACGGUCCAGACUCCUACGGGAGGCAGCAGUGGGGAAUAUUGCACAAUGGGCGCAAGCCUGAUGCAGCCAUGCCGCGUGUAUGAAGAAGGCCUUCGGGUUGUAAAGUACUUUCAGCGGGGAGGAAGGAGUAAAGUUAAUACCUUUGCUCAUUGACGUUACCCGCAGAAGAAGCACCGGCUAACUCCGUGCCAGCAGCCGCGGUAAUACGGAGGGUGCAAGCGUUAAUCGGAAUUACUGGGCGUAAAGCGCACGCAGGCGGUUUGUUAAGUCAGAUGUGAAAUCCCGGGCUCAACCGGGAACUGCAUCUGAUACUGGCAAGCUUGAGUCUCGUAGAGGGGUAGAAUUCCGUGUAGCGGUGAAAUGCGUAGAGAUCUGGAGGAAUACCGGUGGCGAAGGCGGCCCCGGACGAAGACUGACGCUCAGGUGCGAAAGCGUGGGGAGCAAACAGGAUUAGAUACCCUGGUAGUCCACGCCGUAAACGAUGUCGACUUGGAGGUUGUGCCCUUGAGGCGUGGCUUCCGGAGCUAACGCGUUAAGUCGACCGCCUGGGGAGUACGGCCGCAAGGUUAAAACUCAAAUGAAUUGACGGGGGCCCGCACAAGCGGUGGAGCAUGUGGUUUAAUUCGAUGCAACGCGAAGAACCUUACCUGGUCUUGACAUCCACGGAAGUUUUCAGAGAUGAGAAUGUGCCUUCGGGAACCGUGAGACAGGUGCUGCAUGGCUGUCGUCAGCUCGUGUUGUGAAAUGUUGGGUUAAGUCCCGCAACGAGCGCAACCCUUAUCCUUUGUUGCCAGCGGUCCGGCCGGGAACUCAAAGGAGACUGCCAGUGAUAAACUGGAGGAAGGUGGGGAUGACGUCAAGUCAUCAUGGCCCUUACGACCAGGGCUACACACGUGCUACAAUGGCGCAUACAAAGAGAAGCGACCUCGCGAGAGCAAGCGGACCUCAUAAAGUGCGUCGUAGUCCGGAUUGGAGUCUGCAACUCGACUCCAUGAAGUCGGAAUCGCUAGUAAUCGUGGAUCAGAAUGCCACGGUGAAUACGUUCCCGGGCCUUGUACACACCGCCCGUCACACCAUGGGAGUGGGUUGCAAAAGAAGUAGGUAGCUUAACCUUCGGGAGGGCGCUUACCACUUUGUGAUUCAUGACUGGGGUGAAGUCGUAACAAGGUAACCGUAGGGGAACCUGCGGUUGGAUCACCUCCUU